Molecule: transfer RNA, 68 nt
Filed under: Penaeus sp. 1 SPS-2018
Lineage: Eukaryota; Metazoa; Arthropoda; Malacostraca; Decapoda; Penaeidae
Description: tRNA-Asp
Source: RNAcentral
GAAAAAUUAGUUAAUAAUAUAACAUAAGCUUGUCACGCUUAAAUAAUCAGAUUCGCUGAUAUUUUUCG